This 759-nucleotide long non-coding RNA is filed under the name Mytilus galloprovincialis (Mediterranean mussel). The record is from RNAcentral. Lineage: Eukaryota; Metazoa; Mollusca; Bivalvia; Mytilida; Mytilidae.
GUUUGAUUAAAUGAGAGACUAGUUGAUUUAUGUAGUUGUGCCAAAGGUAAGGUUGAUAAAAUUCCUCCAUCAAUGUUCAUGAAACACUUGGCUGACAAACUUGUUUUUAUGUAUGUGCCUGUCCCAAGUUGGGAGCCUGUAAUUAAGUGAUUGAGGUUUGUUUAAGUAUAACCUUUUUGUUUUUCAUUCUUUUUUUUGUACAUAAAUAAGGCUGUUAGUUUUCUUGUUUGAAUUCUUUUACAUUGUCAUUUUGGGGCCUUUUAUAGCCGACUAUGCGGUAUGGGCUUUGCUCAUUGUUGAAGGCCAUACGGUGACCUAUAGUUGUUAAUUUCUGUGUCAUUUUGAUCUCUUGCAGAGUGUUGUCUCAUUGGCAAUCAUACGACAUCUUCUUAUUUUAUAUUUAUAGUUCCAUUUUAAUGUUUAUGGUUAUCUAUGAUAUUAAUCUAUAUUCAUUGCAGAACUUUGUUGGUCUUGGUUUAUUGUUCACAACUUUUAUAGACUCCAUGCAAUUCCAACUGCUUUUAAGGACUUCAUACUUAUGAUCAAACAGUCUUUACUACACCAGUCCUGCAUCUGUAUGUGGGAGUUGACUGAUGCAUAUUUACAAGUGGGGGCAUCUGUGACCCAUAGAUACAUUCUACAUUUAUUUAAAAUACCUUCAUCAACUUCAUUGUAGUACUACAAUUUUUGAACAAUAACCAGAUUCCUGCCAGAAAACAAUGUUAAGAAUUGGCUUUGGAUCAUAUGUAACAUACUUAG